RNAcentral lists this ribosomal RNA (549 nucleotides) under uncultured Glomus. RNAcentral describes it as "SSU rRNA". It matches the Rfam family "Eukaryotic small subunit ribosomal RNA", at positions 548 to 1098 of the family's 1831-position model. Lineage: Eukaryota; Fungi; Glomeromycota; Glomeromycetes; Glomerales; Glomeraceae. The record is from RNAcentral.
UUGGAGGGCAAGUCUGGUGCCAGCAGCCGCGGUAAUUCCAGCUCCAAUAGCGUAUAUUAAAGUUGUUGCAGUUAAAAAGCUCGUAGUUGAAUUUCGGAAUCAAUAUGUUGGUCGUGCCAUUGGUACGUACUGGCAUUAUUGGUUUCUACCUUCUGAAGAACCUCGAUGUCAUUAAUUUGGUGUCUUGGGGAAUCAGGACUGUUACUUUGAAAAAAUUAGAGUGUUUAAAGCAGGCUCGCGCUUGAAUACAUUAGCAUGGAAUAAUGAAAUAGGACGUUUGAUUCUAUUUUGUUGGUUUCUAGGAUCGACGUAAUGAUUAAUAGGGAUAGUUGGGGGCAUUAGUAUUCAAUUGUCAGAGGUGAAAUUCUUGGAUUUAUUGAAGACUAACUACUGCGAAAGCAUUUGCCAAGGAUGUUUUCAUUAAUCAAGAACGAAAGUUAGGGGAUCGAAGACGAUCAGAUACCGUCGUAGUCUUAACCAUAAACUAUGCCGACUAGGGAUCGGAUGAUGUUAAUUUUUUAAUGACUCAUUCGGCGCCUUACGGGAAAC